AUUGAACGCUGGCGGCAUGCCUUACACAUGCAAGUCGAACGGCAGCACGGGGGCAACCCUGGUGGCGAGUGGCGAACGGGUGAGUAAUGCAUCGGAACGUGCCCUGGAGUGGGGGAUAACGUAGCGAAAGUUACGCUAAUACCGCAUAUUCUGUGAGCAGAAAAGCAGGGGAUCUUCGGACCUUGUGCUUUGGGAGCGGCCGAUGUCGGAUUAGCUAGUUGGUGAGGUAAAGGCUCACCAAGGCGACGAUCCGUAGCGGGUCUGAGAGGAUGAUCCGCCACACUGGAACUGAGACACGGUCCAGACUCCUACGGGUGGCAG
This 321-nucleotide ribosomal RNA is filed under the name uncultured Pseudomonadota bacterium. RNAcentral describes it as "bacterial SSU rRNA". It matches the Rfam family "Bacterial small subunit ribosomal RNA", at positions 30 to 351 of the family's 1533-position model. The record is from RNAcentral. Lineage: Bacteria; Pseudomonadati; Pseudomonadota.